Molecule: long non-coding RNA, 711 nt
Filed under: Mus caroli (Ryukyu mouse)
Lineage: Eukaryota; Metazoa; Chordata; Mammalia; Rodentia; Muridae
Description: lncRNA (MGP_CAROLIEiJ_G0005006.1)
Source: RNAcentral
UCACAGUGCGGUUUGGCCCAGGAGGUCUGAAUUGAACAGGGACAGCCUGAGCUGAACUUCAGGGAAUGGGAGGUUCCAGUGUUUGCCUGAGGCAUAAGAAGUCAUUCAGCAAUCAGGAACUCUUACCUGGGAGCUGUCCAUCCCAGCUGUCAGCUCUUCUGGCACCGUGGGUCUAUUGAGGAGGGCCAACCCAAACAGGCUACUUCUGUUCUUCCUUCAAGAGACAUUCACAAGAUUACCUUCUAUGGAAUGCUUUUAGACUGGAAAAUGGCUGAAUCCUCUCCAUGAAGGAGCAGGUGUUCUGGGUAUGGUGGACCAAGGCCUUGCUGGGUUUAAUGAGGCAGCAUAAUGAGCAGUGGCCUCCAUGAUGACUCGGUGAAGAAGCGAUGACUUUCCCACCCCUCCCUCCAGGCAGUUCACUCUGUCCACCCAACUCCCAUCCCAGGUUGGCUCUUCUGUCUUCUCUCUCCUGUCCCCUCUCCCCUCAUGGAGGACUUUAAGUCUCUUUCCUGAAAUGUCCCAUCCCGCUUGCCUUUCAAAGUUUCCUAGAAGGCUUUAAUGGAAGCAGUGUCCAGUUGAUCACUCCAGGGAGCGUGGGAAAUCUCCCUGAGGUGAUUAUGAUUCUCCAGAUCACCAGCCAUCCCUGAUUCCUAAAAACCCAUGCUACCUGUGAAUCCCAAGAAUAAAAUACUCUCUGAUCUCCUUUUCCAA